RNAcentral lists this non-coding RNA (21 nucleotides) under Caenorhabditis elegans. The record is from RNAcentral. Lineage: Eukaryota; Metazoa; Nematoda; Chromadorea; Rhabditida; Rhabditidae.
UCACGUGUAUCUUUAUAUAGC